Long non-coding RNA from Sander lucioperca (pikeperch), 1619 nucleotides. RefSeq lists it as uncharacterized. NCBI's taxonomy places the organism in Eukaryota, Metazoa, Chordata, Actinopteri, Perciformes, Percidae. The record is from RefSeq and is a predicted model, not a curated record. The transcript is spliced from 3 exons.
UUAUGACAGGAAAUAACCACAAAACAUGCAUUUGCUGGCAUCAGGCAAGUAUUGCUAGCUUGGUAAUCAUCAUGCUCAUUGUAAUGUAUAGCCAUAAUGUUGCCCAUACAAUCCAUGUCAGCUGUGUUGCAGGAAAUAAUAGUCCUUUAUAAAAAAAAAAUGAAAUUGAUUUUUCUCAGUUUUCUGCUUGUUUACUGUACCAUGAGAGAGGUAAAGGGCAAAGUUUCGGAAAUAGAAUCAGCCCUGUCUUUUUCUGCUCAGUGCGUGAAAAUAGUAUUGAUUAAUGGCCAUUGCCCCUUUUUCCACGCAGAAUGAUGUAAAGACCCUGUCGGUUACCAUCACCUUCUCGGGGAAUGUGUUCCAUCAAUCCCACGGCCAGAACAGGAAAAGAUGGCCCUUCAACAGAGAAGCCUCACCAAUGUAUGUCAUCAUCACUGCAGCCGUCUUCUAAUGAUGACCCUUGGCAUGCUGUGGCACCUGGGACCUCCCCUAGCAUGAGGGAGGCUGAUGAAAAUUAGCCCAUUCACAUUUCAAACAGAAUUUGGCCUGGCCCCUGAUCACAGUGCGGGGGCCCCCCUAACAGUCCUGCAGAGAAAACACGCACCAGCAGAAAGGAUCUCCACCCGGCCAGAGCCUCUCCCCUGGCGAUCAUUGCGGGAACACAUGGUGACAUGACUGUGGGAUGUGAGGGGUCUGGAUGUACUCCGGCUGUUAUUCCCUGUUAAAAGAUUUAAACCAUCGGGGUAUGAUAGGUCCCUUUGAUGUUUGCUAAGCAUAGAGCUAUGGAACAAGGGAGCAGGGAGAAAGGAGAAAAGGGGGGAGAGGUGGGAUGAGGUAUAGUGGUGAUGGUAGCGGUGAUGCGGGGCAGAGGCUUGUUACUAGAAGGCAAUCAUCUUUGUGGAGCCUCAGCCGAGGAGGGGAGGAGAUGCGUUGAACCUCUGUUUCAACGCAGCCACGCCAACAAAGGGAAGAUAAAAGACAGAGGUUGAAGCCGGGGCCAAGACCCGCUGUGGAGCCGAGAUUACUGCCAGCACAAAGUUUGGGCUCUUCUACCACUCCAACAACUUUUACCUUCCUAAUUGCCCCAAUUUGGCUCUUAUUUCUAGAGGUGGGGAAAGUGUAAUAGUCAUAGAGAGAUUAUGUUUCAUCCUAAAGGAAUAUAUAUAUAAUAUAGCAUGCUGAUUUCCUGUAUACUAAUGGCAAAAACAUUGUACUAUAAAGAUUGGAAUAUAGCACACACUGUAGAGUUAGUGGUUGUACUUUGUUAAUAGUGGAACUCGGACAACCACCGAGUACCCCGAGCUAAAAAUCCAACAUGGCUGCUCUGUGCAUCAACAGUUGUGAAAGCUGAAGUAACAUACAGUUAUAAACACUUCUGUCUCAUUUGUGUCUCACUAAAUUCAUGUCAUACAGACAGUGCUGUCCAUCUUUUAACUGUGGACAUGUUGUUAAUCUGUUUGUAUGCACAAAAACAGCGCAAUGCGAUGUUAUAAACUGGUAUUGGCUAACCUGGCUAGAGCUAAUAAAAACAAUAAAAAUACGAAUUGUAAUGGAACGCAUUCAACUGGGUGUGACGUCAUUCCCAGCUUCAGUUCCGAAAUAAAACAAGCAGUGAAAAA